AAGUCGUAACAAGGUAACCGUAGGUGAACCUGCGGUUGGAUCAUUACUGAAUACUCAUCCGGGAUUCCGCACCGGAUACCGGACACGCUCCUCGGAGUUUUGUCCGGCGUCCGGGAAUCCCGCAUGAUAUUACACCCCCUUGUGAAUUGUUACCCGUAUUUUGGCAGCCGUCCGAGGAAUUCCCCCUUUAACUUAAGCGGGGUUUUUCUUUUUCCGGCCGCCAGCAACAAAAACAACAAAAAAAAACUAUGUUCCUGAAAAAACGGAACUUUUUCAUUCCGUCUCACAUGUAGAACAUUUUCAUUUUUGGGUAUACAUGUAAAGAAAAAAUGUAAACAACUUUUGACAACGGAUCUCUUGGCUCUC
This 366-nucleotide unclassified non-coding RNA is filed under the name fungal sp. RNAcentral's name for it is "partial internal transcribed spacer region". The stretch from base 1 to 46 matches the Rfam family "Eukaryotic small subunit ribosomal RNA", at positions 1786 to 1831 of the family's 1831-position model. Lineage: Eukaryota; Fungi. The record is from RNAcentral.